UGAAAUGGGCUAAUGAAAAAGAUUAUCAUUGGAAUGAGGAAUGAGGGGUUUAAAUUAGUACUAAAUGGGCAUUUUCCCAAAAAAUAAAAAUAAAAAACUUCUUUUAUAUGUUUUCUUAAGACUGCUCCCUAACCCAUGUUUGUUACACGGGACACUGUAACCCAGGCUUAAAUUCUAAUAUAGUCUAACACUACUUAAGCCAGGCUUAUUUUUCAAUAAUCCUAACCCAUGUUUAGUGUCACUUAGGACUAAAAAGCAUAAUAACAGUAUACUUCUGACAAUGCAGCCUCUCCAUGCUUCCUAAAACAGCCUCUCCAUCGAAUUUCAUCACCACCUCCUAUUUUCUUUAAAACUGAAUGUGGAAUUGUUGAAAAUAAAGAAAAUUAGAAGGCACAAACAGAGGGCAUAAACAGAUGGUUUUACCAUGCAACAACGCAUUGGCUUUACCAUGAUUGCUUUUGUGUUGUCUGCCAAUUCGCUCACAAUAUCUGUUUCUUGACAUGCUGUAGACCAUGAGUCGGGAUUGAGUCCAAACUCUGAGAAACAAUACCAGCUGAAAUUAUAUUUGUGGACAUAAGAAGAACAAAUACUUCUAAAGCUAGAUACAAGGUAGCACCUAUACACUUUCAAUUUAAUCAACUCCAGAUAUCAAAUAGUGAGCAGAUCACAUGCUUGAUCAUAAAAUUUAUAUCAUCAGAUAGAAUUUAUAGAGAGAGAAGCACAAACGUUUCAGAGAAAAAAAAAAGACCCAGGCAUAAAAUUGAUCAAAUUCUGAGCAGAUGAAGCAAGCCAUACACCAAAUCCUCAAUCAAUUUGUGAAAUAAUCACAGCCCAUAAACAAAUGACAAUAGAUCAUCACUUCCUAGUCUUUAGUAAAACGAAUGACACAGACAAAGAAGAAGGUAGAGUGGGUUGAAGGAGAUAUUGAACAAUAAUCAACACAAGACAGAGAGUGUGAGAAACGAGAGAAACUAAACCUGAAAUCUUCUCGCCCAAGAAGACUAAAGCGAAAGAAACCAAUGAAUGAGAGUGAGACGAUGAGGCUGCUGCCGAGAACGAGCAAGAACAACAUUUCAGCGUUGUGCAGUCCUAUGAAUUUUGGGGCCGCUAUGUAAGGAGGCAUGGAGAGCGUUGGGGACUACGUAUGCUCAUUUAAUAUAGUCCCUAGUGGUGCCAAAUGUGGGACAACACCUGUUUUUUUACGUAAGCCAGUCCAGUCCAGUCUUAUCCCCCGUAACAAACAUGCACUAAGGGACAAUUUUUAAGGGAAUGUGAUGGAUAAGUAGAUUUAACGGUUCAAAAUAAAUCCACAAUUUUAAGUUGUAUUAUUUCUGUUUUUAUAUUUAAUACAUGUGGUUGAGAUGCAUUUGUCCCUCACUCUCUCUUAAAACUGUCCCUCAUGUGUGCAAGCCUUAUUUUUUCUUAUAGUGUUGCGCUGAUCGUAUUUACCGAUCAAUUUCAUUAGUACUUUUGUUACUUUUAUUUAUUUUUCCGGUUUAUCAUCUAAAUUAUUAGUUUUUGAAACUUUAUUCAAAGCAGAGUCAUGGCUUCUCUCCUCUAUUGACUAGCAUUUUUUCACAAAAUAUUGCUUCUCAUGCAACGCAUGCAACUCUCGAAAACAACGUUUAAUCCUUGGUGUCGUAUAUCAUGUUUUGGCAACUGUCUAGCGUCUUGGAUACCCAGAAAUUGAGCCCCUCAUAUAG
RNAcentral lists this long non-coding RNA (1703 nucleotides) under Fragaria vesca (wild strawberry). RNAcentral describes it as "long non-coding RNA (FVES_LNC001688)". The record is from RNAcentral. Lineage: Eukaryota; Viridiplantae; Streptophyta; Magnoliopsida; Rosales; Rosaceae.